Molecule: transfer RNA, 73 nt
Filed under: Coniochaeta sp. 2T2.1
Lineage: Eukaryota; Fungi; Ascomycota; Sordariomycetes; Coniochaetales; Coniochaetaceae
Rfam family: tRNA
About the family: Transfer RNA (tRNA) molecules are approximately 80 nucleotides in length. Their secondary structure includes four short double-helical elements and three loops (D, anti-codon, and T loops).
Source: Rfam by way of RNAcentral
GGCCGCGUGGCCUAAUGGCUAAGGCGCCAGAUUUCGGCUCUGGAGAUUGUGCGUUCGAAUCGCACCGUGGUCG